This 85-nucleotide transfer RNA is filed under the name Clostridia bacterium. Its description in RNAcentral is "tRNA-Leu". It matches the Rfam family "tRNA". Rfam says of the family: Transfer RNA (tRNA) molecules are approximately 80 nucleotides in length. Their secondary structure includes four short double-helical elements and three loops (D, anti-codon, and T loops). Lineage: Bacteria; Bacillati; Bacillota; Clostridia. The record is from RNAcentral.
GCAGGAGUGGCGGAAUAGGCAGACGCGCAGGUUUCAGGUACCUGUUGUUAACGCAGUGUGGGUUCAAGUCCCAUCUCCUGCACCA